GGAGAGGUGGCUGAGAGGCCGAAAGCGGCAGACUCGAAAUCUGUUAUACUGGCAACGGUAUCGGGGGUUCGAAUCCCUCCCUCUCCG
RNAcentral lists this transfer RNA (87 nucleotides) under Candidatus Aminicenantota bacterium. RNAcentral's name for it is "tRNA-Ser". It matches the Rfam family "tRNA". Rfam says of the family: Transfer RNA (tRNA) molecules are approximately 80 nucleotides in length. Their secondary structure includes four short double-helical elements and three loops (D, anti-codon, and T loops). Further hydrogen bonds mediate the characteristic L-shaped molecular structure. tRNAs have two regions of fundamental functional importance: the anti-codon, which is responsible for specific mRNA codon recognition, and the 3' end, to which the tRNAs corresponding amino acid is attached (by aminoacyl-tRNA synthetases). tRNAs cope with the degeneracy of the genetic code in two manners: having more than one tRNA (with a specific anti-codon) for a particular amino acid; and 'wobble' base-pairing, i.e. permitting non-standard base-pairing at the 3rd anti-codon position. The record is from RNAcentral. Lineage: Bacteria; Candidatus Aminicenantota.